Molecule: ribosomal RNA, 253 nt
Filed under: uncultured bacterium
Lineage: Bacteria
Description: partial 16S ribosomal RNA
Rfam family: Bacterial small subunit ribosomal RNA
Source: RNAcentral
UACGUAGGGUGCAAGCGUUAAUCGGAAUUACUGGGCUUAAAGCGUGCGCAGGCGGCUUUGCAAGACAGAUGUGAAAUCCCCGGGCUUAACCUGGGAACUGCAUUUGUGACUGCAUGGCUGGAGUGCGGCAGAGGGGGAUGGAAUUCCGCGUGUAGCAGUGAAAUGCGUAGAUAUGCGGAGGAACACCGAUGGCGAAGGCAAUCCCCUGGGCCUGCACUGACGCUCAUGCACGAAAGCGUGGGGAGCAAACAGG